UAGAAAAAAUAAAAAUAAAGUGAACUGAAACAUCUAAGUAACUUUAAAAAAAAAUCAAACGAGAUGCCGUUUGUAGUGGCGAACGACUGCGGUAUUUGGGAAUUCUUCAAACUAUUAUUCGAAACAACCAAAGAAGGUUAUAGUCCUGUAGAAAAAAAACAGUUGGGAGAAAAAAGUAAGGCAGGGUUUACUGUCAGAAUUUUGGGCUACCACGCUCAACCCUAAAAAUUUUUGAUGACCGAUAGAAAAAAAGUACCGUAAGGGAAAGGUGAAAAAAGCUCUUUAUAGGGGUGAAAAGAUUUGAAACUUGUUGUUAACAAUCUGUUGAAGUCUUCAGACGACAGCGUACCUUUUGCAUAAUGGGCCAGUGAGUUUAUUUAAAUGGCAAGUUUAAUCCGUUAGGAGUAGACGCAGUUAAAUCGAAUAUUAAUUAUAUGCCGAGUCAUUUGUAUAAGACCCGAAACUAAGUGAUCUAAUCAUGAGCAGGUUGAAUAUAUUGUAGUAAUACGUAUUGGAGGACCGAACCCGUGUAUGUGGAAAAAUACUGGGAUGACUUGUGAUUAGGGGUGAAAGGCCAAUCAAACUUAGAGAUAGCUGGUUUUCCGCGAAAUCUAUUUAAGUAGAGCGUUUUUUUUUUGAACAACGGGGUAGAGCUCUCAAUAAACUAGGGGGUUAACUCUUACCAAAUUUACUGAAACUACGAAUACGUAUGCGGCGAAAAAAAGCAGACAGACAUUGGAUGCGAAGGUCUUCUGUCAAAAGGGAAACAGCCCAGAUCGCCCGUUAAGGUCUUCAAUAAAUAUUUAAGUGAAUAAAGCAGUGAUUAAACAAAAACAAUCAAUAGGUAGGCUUGGAAGCAGCCACCCUUUAAAGAAAGCGUAACAGCUCGUUGAUCCAGUUUUGUCGCGCUGAAAAUGUAUAGAGACUCAAAAUAUUAACCGAAACGGCGAAUUUUAAAUGAAAAUGGUAGCGGAACGUUCUGUAUUUUUUAGAAGGCAAGUUGUAAAAUUUGCUGGAGAAAUCAGAAGCGAGUAUACUGGCAUGAGUAGCGAUAAAUAAUGUGAAAAACAUUAUCACCGUAAAUCCAAGGGUUUCGUAGCACGGCUAAUCCGCUACGAUAAAAUUGUAAAAUUUUACAAAAAGACGGCCUCUAAGAAAUGUUAAGCGAAAGCUUGCUUCAAUGAGUAAUAUUUGUAUUUUUCUUAAAGUAUGUGACGGAGUUUAAAGCUUAUUAAAUUUAUUUAGUUUGUAAAAAUUUCCAAGAAAUAGCUGCUUUAUUAAAAAACCGUACUGAAUCCGACACAGGUGGAUAGGUUGAGUAAACUAAGGUGCUUGAACGAACUUUGUUGAAGGAACUCGGCAAAAUAACCCCGUAACUUCGGGAGAAGGGGUGACUUUUUCGGGGCA
RNAcentral lists this ribosomal RNA (1407 nucleotides) under Florenciella parvula. Its description in RNAcentral is "partial Bacterial large subunit ribosomal RNA". It matches the Rfam family "Bacterial large subunit ribosomal RNA", at positions 169 to 1764 of the family's 2925-position model. Lineage: Eukaryota; Dictyochophyceae; Florenciellales. The record is from RNAcentral.